Long non-coding RNA from Numida meleagris (helmeted guineafowl), 713 nucleotides. RefSeq lists it as uncharacterized. Lineage: Eukaryota; Metazoa; Chordata; Aves; Galliformes; Numididae. The transcript has 5 exons. The record is from RefSeq and is a predicted model, not a curated record.
CAUUUGCUAGACAGAGUCCCAUCUCCCUCUCUUUAAAUCCUCUCUGAAAUCUAUGGGCGAAUCUAUGCAGUGGCCACCCCGUUAGCUGCAGGAACCUCUCCCUGCUUUAGGCAGGCACAAUCGCUGCACUCCAUCUCAUUACCCACACGCACAGAUCUCUACACCUGAUGCUAUCACCAGGUCUCUCCUUCACACACCGCCCACCACUUUCCACAGUCUUUUCAGCUGCUGUCAUCUGCACCCUCCCAUGCUGCAGGGACUUCAGUCAUCUCUGCUAUUCGUUACACAGCAGUGUUUUGUGCUGCAUUUCAGAUCCAGAAUUUCCAUUCAGCUCUCAGGAGAACAGAGAUGAAGAAGUUUUCCUUAACAGAGUCAGCCUGGAGGUACUUAAUAUUCCUUCUGCCCAACUCAAUGAAAUCUACUCUGCUUUGCUCCAGGAAACAUUUGUCUAGAGAACCCAGAGGAACUUUCUUGGAGCACCUGAAGGCAUCUUAUGUAUCCAUAAAUUUCUCAAAGACAGUUCCAGGGAGAAGCCAAUCCUGCAAAACUACAUGAGCAUCAACAGAAGAACAGUGACAGCAGCAGCCAAAGCGGCAGCAAGGAUUCAUCAGCAAAAGGUCUCCAAUGUCGACAGACUCUACUGUAAACUCAUCUAUCUUCCCACGCUCAAAUUUGUUCUUGUUAAGCUUGGAGGCCUUCAGGCUGACUAUCCC